RNAcentral lists this ribosomal RNA (301 nucleotides) under uncultured bacterium. RNAcentral's name for it is "partial 16S ribosomal RNA". It matches the Rfam family "Bacterial small subunit ribosomal RNA", at positions 509 to 807 of the family's 1533-position model. The record is from RNAcentral.
CAGCCGCCGCGGUAAUACGUAGGGUGCGAGCGUUAAUCGGAAUUACUGGGCGUAAAGCGUGCGCAGGCGGUUCGUUAAGACAGAUGUGAAAUCCCCGGGCUUAACCUGGGAACUGCAUUUGUGACUGGCAAGCUAGAGUAUGGCAGAGGGGGGUGGAAUUCCGCGUGUAGCAGUGAAAUGCGUAGAUAUGCGGAGGAACACCGAUGGCGAAGGCAGCCCCCUGGGCCAAUACUGACGCUCAUGCACGAAAGCGUGGGGAGCAAACAGGAUUAGAUACCCCUGUAGUCCCUGUCUCUUAUAC